This 669-nucleotide long non-coding RNA is filed under the name Podarcis muralis (Common wall lizard). RNAcentral describes it as "lncRNA (ENSPMRG00000022690.1)". The record is from RNAcentral. Lineage: Eukaryota; Metazoa; Chordata; Lepidosauria; Squamata; Lacertidae.
GGCGGAGGGAGUUGCUGGAAAGCGAUCCAGCUGGAUCUCACAUCAAGGGGCAGCGAGGAGAACCAGGGAGAAAAUACUGUUCCUGCUUCUUGAGCUCUUCCCCCACCCCCAGCCCCUCUUCCUUCUCGCCUCCCCAGGCUGCCCCUCAAAAAAAACACACGAGCCAGCGCGCCGCCGGCCGGCUGGCCUCUUGGCUCCGCCUGUGCCAGCAGCCCGACGCGUUUCGCUGCUAGGAGAAGGAGGAGGUGGCGGCGGCGGCGGUUUGCUACUGCAUGUGGCGGAGCUGACCCGGCACUGGGCUGGGAGGAGGAGGAGGAGGAGGCGGAGGAGGACCGGACCGGACCGCCCUCCUUGUCCCUCCCUCCUUCUCCAAGUAAUCUGGGCGCCCGACUUCUCGCAAGCGGCCGAGACGAGGCGUUUGCGCUCUUGGAGACGCGGAACCCGGGCAGCUGCUCCGCCGCGCCACCAUGGAUUCGGAUUCCGGAGAGCUGAGCGAGGGGGAGCUGGUUUCUUCAGCAGAGCUGAUCCCCAGGGCUGCUCUCCUGCAGAUGACUAGCAAGACCAUUUGUUCCAUCUUCCACAUCGGACAGCAAGUAACUACCGUAUUUUUCGCUCUAUAAGACGCACCAGACCACAAGACAUACCUAGUUUUUGGAGGAGGCAAACAAG